Molecule: transfer RNA, 96 nt
Filed under: Mycolicibacterium duvalii
Lineage: Bacteria; Bacillati; Actinomycetota; Actinomycetes; Mycobacteriales; Mycobacteriaceae
Description: tRNA-Ser
Source: RNAcentral
UCCUGCCCGAGUAUCAGGUGGACCGCACCGGCUUGAAGCGGGUGGCGAUGUCGAACGUGGCGGGGUACUCCAACGUUCCGGUUCGUCGGGCGAGCU